This is a non-coding RNA of Lepisosteus oculatus (spotted gar), 426 nucleotides long. The record is from the annotation of a RefSeq genome assembly. NCBI's taxonomy places the organism in Eukaryota, Metazoa, Chordata, Actinopteri, Semionotiformes, Lepisosteidae.
UUCAUGGCAACAGAACCCACAGCAACAAUGACCUUCAUCACCGUCUUCAUCUGGUCACUUGUCUUCUUUCAUGGUUCCAGUGGCCAGAUUACUGUGACUCAGACUCCAGCAGUGACAUCUGUUCUCCCAGCACAGACAGUCACUGUGAGCUGUAAGACCAGCAGUUCAGUGGACAGCAGCAGUUGUUAUUAUAGUGGCUCAUAUUACCCCUGUCUCGCUUGGUACCAUCAGAAAACUGGAGAAGCUCCUAAACUCCUGAUCUAUGGGGCGACAAUCCGUCAGUCUGGGAUCCCAGAGCGUUUCAGUGGCAGUGGAUCCGGAACUGACUUGACUCUGACUAUCACAGGAGUCCAGGCUGAAGAUGCAGGAGAUUAUUUCUGUCAGAGUCGUCACUACAUCAAUAGCAAGGAUGUGCUCACACAGUGA